AUUGAACGCUGGCGGCAUGCCUUACACAUGCAAGUCGAACGGUAACAGGUCUUCGGAUGCUGACGAGUGGCGAACGGGUGAGUAAUACAUCGGAACGUGCCUAGUAGUGGGGGAUAACUACUCGAAAGAGUGGCUAAUACCACAUGAGAUCUACGGAUGAAAGCAGGGGAUCGCAAGACCUUGUGCUACUAGAGCGGCCGAUGGCAGAUUAGGUAGUUGGUGGGAUAAAAGCUUACCAAGCCGACGAUCUGUAGCUGGUCUGAGAGGACGAUCAGCCACACUGGGACUGAGGCACGGCCCAGACUCCUACGGGAGGCAGCAGUGGGGAAUUUUGGACAAUGGGCGAAAGCCUGAUCCAGCAAUGCCGCGUGCAGGAUGAAGGCCUUCGGGUUGUAAACUGCUUUUGUACGGAACGAAAAGCCCCGGGUUAAUACCCUGGGGUCAUGACGGUACCGUAAGAAUAAGCACCGGCUAGCUACGUGCCAGCCGCCGCAGUAA
RNAcentral lists this ribosomal RNA (498 nucleotides) under uncultured bacterium. Its description in RNAcentral is "partial 16S ribosomal RNA". It matches the Rfam family "Bacterial small subunit ribosomal RNA", at positions 30 to 523 of the family's 1533-position model. The record is from RNAcentral.